This 473-nucleotide ribosomal RNA is filed under the name uncultured bacterium. Its description in RNAcentral is "bacterial SSU rRNA". It matches the Rfam family "Bacterial small subunit ribosomal RNA", at positions 355 to 825 of the family's 1533-position model. The record is from RNAcentral.
UGGGGAAUUGUUCGCAAUGGGCGCAAGCCUGACGACGCAACGCCGCGUGGAGGAUGAAGGUCUUCGGAUCGUAAACUCCUGUUGAUCGGGACGAAAUCCCCCGGGGCUAAUAGUCUUGGGGGUUGACGGUACCGAUUGAGGAAGCCCCGGCUAACUCUGUGCCAGCAGCCGCGGUAAUACAGAGGGGGCAAGCGUUGUUCGGAAUUACUGGGCGUAAAGGGCGCGUAGGCGGCCGACUAAGUCAGACGUGAAAUCCCAUGGCUCAACCAUGGAACUGCGUCUGAUACUGGAUGGCUUGAAUCCGGGAGAGGGAUGUGGAAUUCCAGGUGUAGCGGUGAAAUGCGUAGAUAUCUGGAGGAACACCGGUGGCGAAGGCGGCAUCCUGGACCAAUACUGACGCUGAGGAGUGAAAGCCAGGGGAGCAAACGGGAUUAGAUACCCUCGUAGUCCCUGAGCGGGCUGGCAAGGCGCAU